Molecule: ribosomal RNA, 238 nt
Filed under: uncultured Lactobacillus sp.
Lineage: Bacteria; Bacillati; Bacillota; Bacilli; Lactobacillales; Lactobacillaceae
Description: partial 16S ribosomal RNA
Rfam family: Bacterial small subunit ribosomal RNA
Source: RNAcentral
UAACCUGCCCAAGAGAUCGGGAUAACACCUGGAAACAGAUGCUAAUACCGGAUAACAACAGAUGAUGCCUAUCAACUGUUUAAAAGAUGGUUCUGCUAUCACUCUUGGAUGGACCUGCGGUGCAUUAGCUAGUUGGUAGGGUAACGGCCUACCAAGGCGAUGAUGCAUAGCCGAGUUGAGAGACUGAUCGGCCACAUUGGACUGAGACACGGCCCAAACUCCUACGGGAGGCAGCAGC